Molecule: long non-coding RNA, 692 nt
Organism: Capsicum annuum
Lineage: Eukaryota; Viridiplantae; Streptophyta; Magnoliopsida; Solanales; Solanaceae
Exons: 3
Source: RefSeq, a predicted model, not a curated record
AAGACUUUCUACACGGAAAGCAAGCCUCCUUGUACACAAUAAAAAUUCUCUUAAAUAUUCGAUAAAGAUAUUUAGUUUUAUAAUUAGCUAUGGAAAAUCAAAGCCCAGAAUCAUCAAAUCUACAAAAAUAGAAAAAAAAUGGAUGUUGCUUCUGAUGAAGAAAUAAAGUGUCUCUUAGUGGAUGUUGCUUCCAAUUCUUCAGGACUUUUGCUUUCAAACUUAAUUGAUAUCAUUGUUGAUUGCUUACUGAAGUAGGCAGGAAAGUUGGGCACAAACCAUAUGGCAGACGAGGAGUUGGCAUUGUAAAUUUCAAGGGGGUGAAUGAAAUCCAGGAACAAAGUGUCUAUUCUUGAAGAUGAAGUCAAGUUUAAAACCAGUGCCCAAAUUUGUGUCAAUCUUUAAAGCAGAGAAAUUGAUCUUUCAACACCGCCGGAUGGCUUUCUUUCUAGGAAAAAAAGUAGUGAGAAGUAUCAGAUGAAGAUUAUGGUCCUAUUUUUACUCUAAUAACUCUAACUUCACCCAAUGUUUCUAAUCAUAUUUCUAUAAAAGAUGAAUUUUGUACUGCUAAAGACGUGAAAAAUUCUUAAGAGGAUUUAAGUUUGUCUUUUGUUUCUUUAUGUUGUUUAAAGAUAGUCACUCAAGUUGUAAUUCACAGUGUUUACUUUAAACUAAUUUGCCACGAUUUCUUCUUA